This 253-nucleotide ribosomal RNA is filed under the name uncultured bacterium. RNAcentral's name for it is "partial 16S ribosomal RNA". It matches the Rfam family "Bacterial small subunit ribosomal RNA", at positions 524 to 776 of the family's 1533-position model. The record is from RNAcentral.
UACAGAGGGGGCAAGCGUUGUUCGGAAUUACUGGGCGUAAAGGGCUCGUAGGCGGCCCGCUAAGUCGAACGUGAAAUCCCCGGGCUCAACCCGGGAACUGCGUCCGAUACUGGCAGGCUUGAGUUCGGGAGAGGGAUGUGGAAUUCCAGGUGUAGCGGUGAAAUGCGUAGAUAUCUGGAGGAACACCGGUGGCGAAGGCGGCCUGCUGGGCAGUAGCUGACGCUGAUGCGCGACAGCGUGGGGAGCAAACAGG